Molecule: ribosomal RNA, 205 nt
Filed under: Mopalia cirrata
Lineage: Eukaryota; Metazoa; Mollusca; Polyplacophora; Chitonida; Mopaliidae
Description: partial 28S ribosomal RNA
Rfam family: Eukaryotic large subunit ribosomal RNA
Source: RNAcentral
CCGUCUUGAAACACGGACCAAGGAGUCUAACAUGUGCGCGAGUCAUUGGGUCACACUAAACCUAAAGGCGCAAUGAAAGUAAAGGCAGCCUCGGGUUUGCCUAGGUAGGAUCCUUUUUUCUCUUUUGAGAGGAGGCGCACUACCGGCCCGUCUCGUCCGCGUUGCGGUGAGGCGGAGCGAGAGCGUACACGUUGGGACCCGAAAG